GCACGGGAAGCAGCUGCACUUCAUGGUCAGAGAGCCCGCCGACUGCCGCUCCCUGACACGGCGCGGAGCAUCUGCCCCGGGGAUCCGGCUGAGCGAUCCGCCAGUCGGCAGCGAGCAGUGCAGGUCAAGUAUGUAACACUUAAUCUGCAAUAACCACCUAGUGUUCGAGAAGCCAUGUUUGGCAUACUGAUACUGGAAGGCAGCCCACCUCUAAUCAAGAGUUCCCAAUCUUAACAAAGGUGCACCCUAACUGGAUCACAGCUCAGCUUCAACGGAGCCACAUCAGAUGACAGCAGUGACAGGCCAUCUCCAUGCAGUGGGAGUGGAAGUACUUGUAUGGUAAAGAAGGUUGGGAAACAUUGUGACUAGUGCUUCUGCCCCACAGAUACACGGAGCUGAGUUCAAUUCUAACCUCAGGAUGAAGAAAAUUAAAGAUCAUCAGCAAUGUGCUCAGUCGUACAGGAAUGGGUAAUCAAUCACAAUACUCACUGCACUGAGAAAGAACCCGGUCUCAACCAGUCUGUAUCUGGUCAUUGUUAGAGGAUCAGCUGAAAUGGCUUUUCUUCCUGCUGCUGUACCCCAGUCACUUCUGGCCGGUGGCAACAAAACAAGGGAAAUAACUAAAUACUUUGUUAAUCACACUUUUCAUGGCAAAUGAUCAACACAAGCAAUAGUCUGUAACUUCCCUUUGGACUUGAAGGCAAUUCAAUGUGGCAGAACCGAGGUGAGGCGAGGUGGUGGGCCCAUCAUGGAGAACAAGUAAGAUCCAAGGAUCGAUUGUUUUAAGUGCCAUGUCAAAGGCUGAAUCGAGGCGGCAAGGCCCGGGCGCCAAAGCGUACCAAUUCGGCUGAACUCGCUGUUUGGCAGGAGACUUACAUGAUGUGCUGAAUUGGAAAGGUUGAUUACAGGCCGAAUUGAGCUGAUGAGGUCGAGGCACCAGAGCGUACUGAAUUGACUGAACUCAAUGCUUGGACAGAGGCUCAAGCACAGGGCCGCAUCGGAAUGGUCGGGUGCAGGGUGAGUCGAGGUGGUGGGGUCCAGGCCUCAGAGGGUGUCACGGUGACUGAACCCGACGGGUCAGAUUGAAAAGGUCAGGGUGUCAGGGCCCUAGGCAAGGGAAAGGGCCGGUUCAGACCACUGCUUCACGACUCCGCUCUGCACUGAACUCUCUUUGCAGAAUGCUAUUUGAUUGUGGUUAUUGUCUGCAUGAUGUGGGUUUUUUCUCUCUCUGCACAUUGGGUGUUUGACGGUCUUUUUUAAAGGGUUUUUUUCAUCUUCAUGGGUUUUUGGUGGGCAUAAUGUGUUCUUUUCUCUGUGCAAAGGGUGUUCGACGGACUUUUUUUCUAUAUUUUAUACAUCAAGGUCAUAUAAUAUAUACGUACUUUGAUAAUAAAGGAACUUUGCGUCUGAGCUAACCCCUAAGGAUCUAUACCCAAGUGUUGCUCUGCAAGGUUACCUCUGUAGGAACAGGGUACAGGUGUGGGCAGAUGACUCACUUCCACCUCACCCUCUCUCUCCUGUUCUACAAGAAAACAAGAAAUUAGGAGCAAGAGCAGGCUGCUUGGUCCCCCAAUCCUGAGUUUCCAAUAUGAUCAGGGCCUCAACACCUGUUGUCUGCCAACUCCCCAAGGUCCUCAUUUCCCUGGUCUUCAACACUGUACCUUCCCCUCUUUAAAUACCCUCACUGAACUAAUCCUUACACCUCUUUAGAUGGGAGGAUUCCAUAGAUUCCCCAUCCUCAGUUAUCUCCUUCCAUAUAAGGAAGUAUAUUCUUCCUUAAAUAAGGAGCCAAAACUCUGCAGAGUGCUCUAGGUGUGACCCUAAAGAAAAUACCGACUCCUCCCUAUCUCCAUCCUUGUGCAAUAAAGGCCAACAUGCCAACUACCUUUCUAACUGUGCUUUUCGCGAUUCAUGCACAAGAACAGUUAGAUCCUUCUGAACCUCACUCAUUCACAGGUUUUCUCAUUUAGAUAACAGUUUGCCUUUCCAUUCCUCUUACUGAAGUGCAUGAUCAAGCCAAGUUUUCACCCACUCUCUCAACCUGCCCUGUUGCAAAGUCCAAAUAGCAUCAUUGCAACAUACCCUCCCAUUUAUUUUCAAGUCAUCAGCAAACUUGGAUACCUUUACUUCGCACCACUCUUAUUUACUUAUUUUUUAAUUAAUUUUAUUUUAGGGUUACAGCAUGGAAUAGGCCCUUCCAGUCCAACGAGCCACACCACCCAGCAACCCACAUAUUUAACACUAACCCAGUCACAGGACAGUUUACCAUGACCAUUUAACCUACUAACCGGUACUUCUUUUCAUGUGGUACUUCUUCCUUCUCUGAAGAAACCAGGGCACCCGGAGGAAACCCAAACACGAGGAAAUUUACAGAUGCUGGAAAUUCAAGCAACACACACAAAAUGCUGGUGGAACACAGCAGGCCAGGCAGCAUCAAUAGGGAGAAGCACUGUCGACGUUUCGG
This is a long non-coding RNA of Hypanus sabinus (Atlantic stingray), 2464 nucleotides long. RefSeq lists it as uncharacterized. NCBI's taxonomy places the organism in Eukaryota, Metazoa, Chordata, Chondrichthyes, Myliobatiformes, Dasyatidae. The transcript is spliced from 5 exons. The record is from RefSeq and is a predicted model, not a curated record.